Molecule: transfer RNA, 72 nt
Filed under: Microcaldota archaeon
Lineage: Archaea; Nanobdellati; Microcaldota
Description: tRNA-Ala
Rfam family: tRNA
About the family: Transfer RNA (tRNA) molecules are approximately 80 nucleotides in length. Their secondary structure includes four short double-helical elements and three loops (D, anti-codon, and T loops). Further hydrogen bonds mediate the characteristic L-shaped molecular structure. tRNAs have two regions of fundamental functional importance: the anti-codon, which is responsible for specific mRNA codon recognition, and the 3' end, to which the tRNAs corresponding amino acid is attached (by aminoacyl-tRNA synthetases). tRNAs cope with the degeneracy of the genetic code in two manners: having more than one tRNA (with a specific anti-codon) for a particular amino acid; and 'wobble' base-pairing, i.e. permitting non-standard base-pairing at the 3rd anti-codon position.
Source: RNAcentral
GGGCUCAUAGCUCAGCAGUAGAGCGCGCGAUUCGCAUUCGCGAGGCCGGGGGUGCGAAUCCCCCUGAGUCCA